UGCUUUGGGACUGUCAGAGGUGAAUGAUGCAGUACUUUUCUGUGUUGAAUUUACAUAACGUCAGUACACAGACAUAGUCUUGUUCCAGUUUUGCUGUGCUCAUGUCUUCUUUGUGUCCCCAGCACAGCAAUCAGAUGCAUCAGAAUAACAAAGCACAACUGUGGUGGCCCAGGAACCUUCAGCAACAAGUACAUUGCUUUAACAUUAAUGAUAAUGCAAUGUCAGUAUUGUAAUUAAACUUGACCCAUCUGACGUAAUUGUUCAUGCCAGAGAUUUAACAACACUGUCAGUCAGGAGCAUAUUUAACAGGAGCCACACUCAACUGGCUUGAUCGUGACUUCAGUGCAGUGAAGAUAUUUACACAGACACUAUCACGAUCUUAAGUACAGAAAGCCUUACAUCAUCUCUAGGUGCAGUCGCCUACAGUGCUGCCAGCUUCACAAAGACUGUGGGGCUGGUCACCGGGGAAAUGGACACCAGGGAGUGCUUUUGGGGUUUACUCCUCAGAUGACCACCCUGGCUACUGUAGCUGGGAUUGCUUCACAGAUGAUGGAGGUCUUGAAGAGUAAAGUGUGUGUGUGUGUGUGUGUGCGCACAUUGUGUUUUUACUGUAACAAUUAUGGUCACUUGCAGUUCAUGUGUUUUCUGUGUAGUGUAAGAUGUGUUUAUUAUUAUUAUUACUCAAAAACCAUUAAAACUUCUAAAUUGUGAAAGUUA
Long non-coding RNA from Carassius carassius (crucian carp), 717 nucleotides. RefSeq lists it as uncharacterized. NCBI's taxonomy places the organism in Eukaryota, Metazoa, Chordata, Actinopteri, Cypriniformes, Cyprinidae. The transcript is spliced from 2 exons. The record is from RefSeq and is a predicted model, not a curated record.